AAGAAAAUUUUUAUAUAAAAUAAAAACUAAGCUAACCUAAAAAAAUACUAAAAAUAAACAUAAUAAAAAUAUCUUUGGUUGGGGCAACCUCGAAGAAAAAACAACCUUCGAUAAACAAAGACUAAAUAAACAAAUUUAAAACUAAAUAUAUAACUAGUUAAAUAAACGAUCCGGAAAUACCGAUCAAAGAAAAAAGUUACCGCAGGGAUAACAGCGUUAUUCUCUUUAAGAGUUCAUAUUGACAAGAGAGUUUGCGACCUCGAUGUUGGACCGGGGCACCCAAGGGGUGCAGCAGCCCCUAAAGGUAGGUCUGUUCGACCUUUAAAGCCCUACGCGAUCUGAGUUCAGACCGACGCAAGU
This 360-nucleotide ribosomal RNA is filed under the name Chondrometra sp. GWR-2010. RNAcentral's name for it is "partial 16S ribosomal RNA". The stretch from base 207 to 360 matches the Rfam family "Bacterial large subunit ribosomal RNA", at positions 2473 to 2626 of the family's 2925-position model. Lineage: Eukaryota; Metazoa; Echinodermata; Crinoidea; Comatulida; Charitometridae. The record is from RNAcentral.